GUUGUGUGUGUGUGUGUGUGUGUGUGUGUGUGUGUGUGUGUGUGUGUGUGUGUGUGUGUGUGUGUGUGUGUGUGUGUGUGUGUGUGUGUGUGUGUGUGUGUGUGUGUGUGUGUUGAACUUAAGAAAUGAGAAGUUACAGGUUCAGGACUCAUCUUUGUGCUUCCAAAUAAAGAAAAGAAACGCAUGGAUUUGCAGUCUUUUACACCCACUGGGAAGACGGAGGGGCUCACCAGAAAGUUACAAGAAUCUCCCAAGCUGCCUGCAAGUUAUACGAGAACUCCCGUGAUCCAGGCUUUGAGAGGUUUCAGCUGCCCACACUGCUUUCACAAGCCUUCAGUGAGGGAAGUCAAGGCAGGAACUUGGAAAGACGAACAGAAGUAGAGGAACGCCACUUACUGGCACUGUAACCAAGAAAACGUACCACAGACUUGAUGGCGGCAAUUCCUCAGUGGAGGUUUCCUCUCCCCAGAUGACUCUAACUUGUGUCAGGGUGAUAAUAAAGCAACCAGCACAAAACUCUCCCAGCUUGGAAAGGCCUCUCUUCUCUCUCUGUCUUCACCUGGUGUUGUGUCCCUCUGAAUGUGUGUAAAUUUCUUCUUGUUUAAAAACACUUUGUGGUGGGGCGUAUGUGUAUACCACAGCACACAUGUGGACGCUAGAAGACAAUCUGUAGAUGUCAGUUCUCCCCUUCCCAGGAACCAAUCGUAGGUCAUCGGCCCUGGCAGUGAGUGCUUUACCUACUCAACAAUCUUGCCCACUCAGUUUCAUCUUACAGGUGCAUCAGGAGCUGGGCGGUGGUGGCACAAAGCUUUAAUCCCAGCACUUGGGAGGCAGAGGCAGGGUUCAGAUCCACUCUAAUGGCCUUGUUUUAACUCUAAAAGACACACCUCCCGGACCUGCCACUUUCUGAUAUAAUUGGAGCUAUGACUUCAACAUGAAUUCCAG
This 945-nucleotide long non-coding RNA is filed under the name Cricetulus griseus (Chinese hamster). RNAcentral describes it as "lncRNA (ENSCGRG00000026453.1)". Lineage: Eukaryota; Metazoa; Chordata; Mammalia; Rodentia; Cricetidae. The record is from RNAcentral.